This is a long non-coding RNA of Helianthus annuus (common sunflower), 490 nucleotides long. RefSeq lists it as uncharacterized. The transcript is spliced from 3 exons. The record is from RefSeq and is a predicted model, not a curated record. NCBI's taxonomy places the organism in Eukaryota, Viridiplantae, Streptophyta, Magnoliopsida, Asterales, Asteraceae.
UUUUUCUUCUAAUUUGAUUAUAUAAGCAGCCAACCAACAAUGACUUUUGCAAUUACUAUUGGUUUAUGCUCACUCCCUUACUUUUAUAGAUGAUUAUGAAUGGAUCUAAUAAUUAUUUAUGAAAUCGUUUUAAUCUCAGCUCACUUUCAUCUUAUUUUAGGUUUAAGCACUUUAGUUGUUUACUGACUCGGAAGGAGGGAGGGAGGGUUGAUUCAAGAAAAAGGCUGAGGUUUAAAAAUUGGAAGUUUUCUGCAACAGGGUUGUUUAGUUGUAGGUGGUAGGCUGAGCAAUUAGAGUGCAUUAAAGAGGAAUUCUGAAUUUGAUGCCCUAUUAGUGAGGCGAGCGAAGCUCUUGUGAAAACGCAUUAAGUAGGUGGUGAUGCUUCAUGUGAGAUGCAACUUCUAGAAUCAAGGACCGAGAUGGAUGGAGAUGAUGGAAAAGGUUGGGAGACUGUUGAUUUUUUUAGAACGAAACUUUUAAAACUACUUUG